AACGAACGCUGGCGGCGUGCCUAACACAUGCAAGUCGAACGAGAAACUCCCGCUUCGGUGGGGGAAGUAAAGUGGCGCACGGGUGAGUAACGCGUGGGUAACCUACCCCUGAAUCCGGAAUAACACCGUGAAAACGGCGCUAAUACCGGAUGCUGUCCCAAGGGCUGUGGCCUUUGGGAUGAAAGGUGACCUCUUCAUGAAAGUUGCCGUUGAGGGAUGGGCCCGCGUACCAUUAGCUAGUUGGUAGGGUAAAGGCCUACCAAGGCGACGAUGGUUAGCUGGUCUGAGAGGAUGGCCAGCCACACUGGAACUGAAACACGGUCCAGACUCCUACGGGAGGCUG
Molecule: ribosomal RNA, 343 nt
Filed under: uncultured Pseudomonadota bacterium
Lineage: Bacteria; Pseudomonadati; Pseudomonadota
Description: bacterial SSU rRNA
Rfam family: Bacterial small subunit ribosomal RNA
Source: RNAcentral